GACGAACGCUGGCGGCGUGCUUAACACAUGCAAGUCGAACGGAAAGGCCCUGCUUUUGUGGGGUGCUCGAGUGGCGAACGGGUGAGUAACACGUGAGUAACCUGCCCUUGACUUUGGGAUAACUUCAGGAAACUGGGGCUAAUACCGGAUAGGAGCUCCUGCUGCAUGGUGGGGGUUGGAAAGUUUCGGCGGUUGGGGAUGGACUCGCGGCUUAUCAGCUUGUUGGUGGGGUAGUGGCUUACCAAGGCUUUGACGGGUAGCCGGCCUGAGAGGGUGACCGGCCACAUUGGGACUGAGAUACGGCACAGACUCCUACGGGAGGCAACAGUGGGGAAUAUUGCACAAUGGGCGGAAGCCUGAUGCAGCAACGCCGCGUGCGGGAUGACGGCCUUCGGGUUGUAAACCGCUUUCGCCUGUGACGAAGCGUGAGUGACGGUAAUGGGUAAAGAAGCACCGGCUAACUACGUG
RNAcentral lists this ribosomal RNA (468 nucleotides) under uncultured bacterium. RNAcentral describes it as "partial 16S ribosomal RNA". It matches the Rfam family "Bacterial small subunit ribosomal RNA", at positions 28 to 507 of the family's 1533-position model. The record is from RNAcentral.